Molecule: long non-coding RNA, 244 nt
Filed under: Mustela putorius furo (domestic ferret)
Lineage: Eukaryota; Metazoa; Chordata; Mammalia; Carnivora; Mustelidae
Description: lncRNA (ENSMPUG00000025588.1)
Source: RNAcentral
GGCCAAACUACAUCAGUACAGAUCCCACACUUUGCCUCACAAAAGGGAGCAUUGCCAUCUCCAGACAUGAAGAUGAUCUGCCAUAGUCACUGCUGUCCACAAUAUGAAAGGCUCUGAAUAAAAAAUGGCUUUGAUGCAUUUAGAAUUGUACCAGAGCAAAAUUUAUAAAUACACAUUGAAACUGAAAGGGAGACAUCAGAAGGACCUACACCGGUCCAUGUCUCCACACCUCCCAACUUCUAGC